Camarhynchus parvulus is the source of this 778-nucleotide long non-coding RNA. RefSeq lists it as uncharacterized. Lineage: Eukaryota; Metazoa; Chordata; Aves; Passeriformes; Thraupidae. The record is from RefSeq and is a predicted model, not a curated record. The transcript is spliced from 3 exons.
GAUGCAUUCUAAUUGGAAAUUCUUCUCAGAUUUGAAUCCAGAAGAUCAAGUUAAAAAUGGUGGAGUCUGGAGCCAUCUCUAAUUCUUAUAUUGUUUGGGAGAAGAAAAUAUUUCCUUAUGCCCAGAAAACUGCUUCAAGUUGCAAAGACUCUUCCCAAACGAACUAAUGAAUUAUCUUACUGAGUAUGCACACCUGAAAUAUCUCAGGUUUCACUUCUAUUUUAUUUAGAAAUUGCUUAUUUCAAGUAAGAAUGUCUUUAGAAACCACUUACUACUCUUGUGUCAGUAGGGCUUAUAUGACAUUUUAUGUGCUUUGGUGGUUGUUUUGGCAUUUUGCUGCCCAGUGCAUGGAUGGACACUGCUAAACAUACUGGCUGAGUAGGCUGAAUACAUUCUCUCCAAUGCUGUUGUAUCUAUAGAGGUUAAUAUACUAUUUAAAUGAUGUGGUUGUCAGUUAUUGUAAACUACUGGAUUUAUCAAAAUAAAAAUUAGCAGCAUGAGCUUCUCCAGGUUUGCUUUCUUGUGGAUUUUGACUUUUAACCAAAUAUCUAGAGCAUAGCUGAACUCUGACAAAGGAAGAAGCCAAUGAGAUAGAGAAGUGUCAUAGAAAUUCUAACAGAAAUAGGCAAAUUGAUCAGACAUGUGGGAAGUUGCAUUAGUUACAUAUUUCCUCCUAAAUAGGAGUAAUUGCAAAUUACUAUUCUUCAACACAAAAUAAGUCCUAGUAAAUCAUAUAGGAUAAAAAAGUUCCAGUGAUCAUCUGAGUUCAACAGCAGCA